RNAcentral lists this ribosomal RNA (277 nucleotides) under uncultured prokaryote. Its description in RNAcentral is "partial 16S ribosomal RNA". It matches the Rfam family "Bacterial small subunit ribosomal RNA", at positions 524 to 801 of the family's 1533-position model. The record is from RNAcentral.
UACGGAAGGUCCGGGCGUUAUCCGGAUUUAUUGGGUUUAAAGGGAGCGCAGGCGGAGAUGCAAGCGUGACGUCAAAUUUCGGGGCUCAACCCCGUCUCGCGUCGCGAACUGCGUCCCUUGGUUGCGGGAAGGGGAGGCGGAACUCGUGGUGUAGCGGUGAAAUGCAUAGAUAUCACGAAGAACUCCGAUCGCGAAGGCAGCCUUCCGGCCCGUCAACGACGCUCAUGCUCGAAGGUGCGGGUAUCAAACAGGAUUAGAUACCCUGGUAGUCCCUGAG